UCCGCCAUGAAUAAAGAAGAGUGUUUAAUAACCGGCUUCGAUGACAUCAUGCAUUCAUGAAACGAGUCAGAACACUUCAUUUUAACAUCCAAAUAAUAACAUAUUAAAUACAAUCAAGCGCUCUAUAUUUGCCCUGGUGGGUGUACGAUUCCCUUAUUUGUUUCACAUUCCCCGAACAAUUAAAUUAAGCGCUACUUGCGAACCAGCCUGACCAUCCACUGAUAUCUUGCUUAUAGGAGAUUUCAGAUGUGUAUGUGACAAUGCACUAACAACAAUAUGUGUCAAACAUUUUGAAGAUAGAUAGAUAGAUGAUGGAUUAAUUACUAUAAUAGACCGAUAUUUUUACAUAUAUACAGUAAUGUAUAGGUGUCCUCUCUCUAGCCAACUCUCAUCUAAUCCCUAACAGCUGGUAAUGGUGCUAACAUUUAAGUGAUUAGAAGUUACUCUAUUUAGCGUGUUGUAUCCUUCUUCUGUGCGUUUUGGUUACAGGUUAUACGAUUAGGUUUGCGAGAACAGUAGUGAACUAAACUUCCCAGUGAGAGGUCUUCACACCAGGGAAGUGUUACUUUGCUGCAGCAGCCCUGCCUCGUCGCUCAUUAGGAAGCUGCAGGUUGUCAGGCGCUUCUCUUGCGCGCACACGCACACACAAAACCGCCGCACUACAACUAAAUUAAGAAGCCGAUGAUUAAGACAAGCGUCUGCUAGGCCUGUCAUUUCAGCAUCCUUCCAUCAUAACAUUGUGGCACAGGGAAAUUUGCUUGAAAACCUGGAAAAAAAUUCUGUGGGAGAGCCUCUUAUAUGAGAUACAGUACCAUAAAUGCUAACUUCAAGGAUAGCCUGGGAGCUACUUCGGAUGCAAGCUAGGAAUCCACAGAGGAAAUGGAUGCUGCAAAGACCAUUGGGCGAUCCAGGCACUUCCUUAAACUCUGAUGCCAAGAAUUGGGAACAAUGACUACCUUCAGGUCUGGCCAUUCAAAGAAUAUAUGAGCAAUACCAUUUCACGUAUUCUAACAAUUUGCAAAUCAUGUUCAACUUUUUAAUGUCGUGGAUACAUAUUUUGUCAUAUGAAAUUCAAGUGACAGUGAGAGUAAGAGUCUUUGUAUCAUUCUUCUAGCUUUUUCUAGCCUCAGCUUAUUACAGAGCGUUGCUUAUUGUGUUAAGAUCUUGAUUUAUUUGUAAAAUUAUCUGUAUUGCUCUCUGCAUAUUGCUGCAACGCUGAGUGAAAUAACCGAGAGCGCUGCAUCUUUCUAAUGCAUUAUUUCCAUACGUGAACAGUUCAUUUAUGUGUUUAUCUAUUUAUAGUCUAUACCUAAAAAUAUUCAAGUACUUCUUGGUCUUGUUACCUGUAAUCGACACCAAAAAGAACAUACGAACAGUAUACAGAUAAUUGCUCUGAUUGCUUGGAGGAAUGUAAUUGGCUUUAUAUUUUUUCUGUUGCACUGUGUCUAUACCUAUUCUCCCUUGAUAAAUAUUAAAAACUGAACUGCUUGUCUGGACAUGUUCCUCUGUUUUGAAGCCCAAGAAGCACAACAAAAUCAUUACAAUAAAGUGAUCAAAC
Molecule: long non-coding RNA, 1558 nt
Filed under: Gopherus agassizii (Agassiz's desert tortoise)
Lineage: Eukaryota; Metazoa; Chordata; Testudines; Testudinidae
Description: lncRNA (ENSGAGG00000010601.1)
Source: RNAcentral